CCUACGGGUGGCAGCAGUGAGGAAUAUUGGUCAAUGGCCGGAAGGCUGAACCAGCCAAGUAGCGUGAGGGACGACUGCCCUAUGGGUUGUAAACCUCUUUUAUAAGGGAAGAAUAAAUGCUACGUGUAGCAUUAUGCCUGUACCUUAUGAAUAAGCAUCGGCUAACUCCGUGCCAGCAGCCGCGGUAAUACGGAGGAUGCGAGCGUUAUCCGGAUUUAUUGGGUUUAAAGGGGGCGUAGGUGGUUUUUUAAGUCAGUGGUUAAAGGUUGGGGCUUCACCUUGAUUUGCCAUUAAUACUGGAAGACUCGAGUACAGACGAGGUAGGCGGAAUAAGUGAAGUAGCGGUGAAAUGCUUAGAUAUAACUUAGAACUCCGAUAGCGAAGGCAGCUUACCAGACUGCGACUGACGCUGAUGCACGAGAGCGUGGGUAUCGAACAGGAUUAGAUACCCCAGUAGUC
This 459-nucleotide ribosomal RNA is filed under the name uncultured bacterium. Its description in RNAcentral is "partial 16S ribosomal RNA". It matches the Rfam family "Bacterial small subunit ribosomal RNA", at positions 338 to 795 of the family's 1533-position model. The record is from RNAcentral.